GCCGGUGUAGCUCAGCUGGUAGAGCACGUCAUUCGUAAUGAUGGGGUCGUAGGUUCCCUAUCACCGGCACCA
Molecule: transfer RNA, 72 nt
Filed under: Paracoccaceae bacterium
Lineage: Bacteria; Pseudomonadati; Pseudomonadota; Alphaproteobacteria; Rhodobacterales; Paracoccaceae
Description: Rhodobacteraceae bacterium (freshwater metagenome) tRNA-Thr
Rfam family: tRNA
About the family: Transfer RNA (tRNA) molecules are approximately 80 nucleotides in length. Their secondary structure includes four short double-helical elements and three loops (D, anti-codon, and T loops). Further hydrogen bonds mediate the characteristic L-shaped molecular structure. tRNAs have two regions of fundamental functional importance: the anti-codon, which is responsible for specific mRNA codon recognition, and the 3' end, to which the tRNAs corresponding amino acid is attached (by aminoacyl-tRNA synthetases). tRNAs cope with the degeneracy of the genetic code in two manners: having more than one tRNA (with a specific anti-codon) for a particular amino acid; and 'wobble' base-pairing, i.e. permitting non-standard base-pairing at the 3rd anti-codon position.
Source: RNAcentral